This 391-nucleotide unclassified non-coding RNA is filed under the name soil metagenome. RNAcentral describes it as "partial contains 5.8S ribosomal RNA, internal transcribed spacer 2, and large subunit ribosomal RNA". The stretch from base 1 to 122 matches the Rfam family "5.8S ribosomal RNA", at positions 35 to 154 of the family's 154-position model. The record is from RNAcentral.
GAUGAAGAACGUAGCGAAAUGCGAUACUUGGUGUGAAUUGCAGAAUCCCGUGAACCAUCGAGUCUUUGAACGCAAGUUGCGCCCGAAGCCAUUAGGCCGAGGGCACGCCUGCCUGGGCGUCACACGUCGUUGCCCCCCCAUCUACUCCUUCGGGAUUGCGGGGGGCGGAUGAUGGCCUCCCGUGCGCCUCGUCGCGCGGUUGGCAUAAAUGCCAAGUCCUCGGCGACACACGCCACGACAAUCGGUGGUUGCGAAACCUCGGUUGCCCGUCGUGUGCGGUCGUCGCGCAUCGAGGGCUCGAAAAAAUUGCCGGGCUCCGGCUCGGCUUUCACCGCGCCCCCAGGUCAGGCGGGGUUACCCGCUGAAUUUAAGCAUAUCAAUAAGCGGAGGA